This 253-nucleotide ribosomal RNA is filed under the name uncultured bacterium. RNAcentral describes it as "partial 16S ribosomal RNA". It matches the Rfam family "Bacterial small subunit ribosomal RNA", at positions 524 to 776 of the family's 1533-position model. The record is from RNAcentral.
UACGUAGGGGGCAAGCGUUAUCCGGAUUUACUGGGUGUAAAGGGAGCGUAGACGGCGAUGCAAGUCUGAAGUGAAAGGCGGGGGCCCAACCCCUGGACUGCUUUGGAAACUGUAUGGCUGGAGUGCAGGAGAGGUAAGUGGAAUUCCUAGUGUAGCGGUGAAAUGCGUAGAUAUUAGGAGGAACACCAGUGGCGAAGGCGGCUUACUGGACUGUAACUGACGUUGAGGCUCGAAAGCGUGGGGAGCAAACAGG